GGUGGGGAUGACGUCAAAUCAUCAUGCCCCUUAUGACCUGGGCUACACACGUGCUACAAUGGAUAGUACAAAGGGUCGCGAAGCCGCGAGGUGGAGCUAAUCCCAUAAAACUAUUCUCAGUUCGGAUUGUAGGCUGCAACUCGCCUACAUGAAGCCGGAAUCGCUAGUAAUCGUGGAUCAGCAUGCCACGGUGAAUACGUUCCCGGGCCUUGUACACACCGCCCGUCACACCACGAGAGUUUGUAACACCCGAAGUCGGUAGGGUAACCUUUAUGGAGCCAGCCGCCGAAGGUGGGACAGAUAAUUGGGGUGAAGUCGUAACAAGGUAGCCGUAUCGGAAGGUGCGGCUGGAUCACCUCCUUU
This 363-nucleotide ribosomal RNA is filed under the name Listeria monocytogenes. RNAcentral's name for it is "bacterial SSU rRNA". It matches the Rfam family "Bacterial small subunit ribosomal RNA", at positions 1172 to 1533 of the family's 1533-position model. Lineage: Bacteria; Bacillati; Bacillota; Bacilli; Caryophanales; Listeriaceae. The record is from RNAcentral.